GAUUCAUAUUAUUCAAAUUAAUAAUAAUUAGUGUGUUCAUCAUGAACAAUGUUGUUUCUCAUCAUGGUCAAAUUUUGAUGAGGGGUCUUAGCUAGCUAGGCAUAGUUUCUAAAAAAAGAAAUAAUGUGGUUAUAAACAAGAUUGUUGGCGUUGGUUGCCAUGACGAAGUCCGCAUGAGCAUAAUUCUUGAUGUACUGAACAUGCAAUUUGUCUACGUCAUGAAACUUUAGAUAGUCAAGCAAUGUUUCAACGUCUUUGCUAUCGGACAGUGCAUCUUGCCCACCGUAGCUCAAAAAUAGUGGAAGAUCACGAGGAAUGUUGCCUAAAUCGUACUUUGGAGGUUUGGUUUCACCAUAAUGCGCCAAAUUGUAGUUGCUCCCGUAGUCAUAUUUUGAAAGUGUACCAUCUCUAACGGUCUGAGCCAAAUGCACCAAGUUUUUAGUUGAAGUGGAUUGAGGCUCGUCAUUCAAAAAUAUCUCGACCGUGGAGGAAUUCAAACAACAAUUCUUCCCAGUAAUUGCAGUCAUUAAGUCAUAGCAAUUUACCCCUGGCUGAGCACAGAAGAACUUGAGCAAUUUGUUUACAGGUCCACCCUUUGGAUUAAACUCAGCAAGACCAAAUAUUGUGGUGAUUUCACCAACAAAGGCUCUAGCAGCAACUUCACCAAGUGCAGUGGUCAUAUGGCUCAAAUAAGCAAUUGGACUUAGUAAUGCUGCUGAUUUAACCUUGUCUAUUUCUCUUCCUUCUGAGAAUGAUGCCAAAGCUAUCAAAGUUCCCAUUGAAUGACCAACAUAGUGUAUUUUCUGUCCAGUUUGUUUGAAGAUAAAGUCAAUAACAGAUGGUAAAUCAUGAACAAUCAAUUCAUCCCAUGACCAAUUCCAGUAUUCCGAAUCUCUAGCGUCAAGGGUGACAUGACGACGACUAUAUCUGGUUCCUCUGGUAUUCGAAAUCCAAACAUCAAAACCAUUAUCUGCUAACAUCAUCGCCACAGAUUCUUCCGGUGGACUCAACAACCACGUUGCACCAUCCACAAGAACUCCAUGCUGCAACAAAACUGGCUGCCUGAUUUGCCCACCACCUCCUACACGGCCUUGAGGAAUUCUUUGUACACUUAGUAUGUAUCCAUCAUCAGUUUUAACCUCAAAUUCUUGGCAUUUGUAACCAUGAGGGGCGACAGUGGAGGCACACAUACCCGCUCCAUUGUCGCCAUAACUAAUGAAACCAAAGUGUCUUGAGCUUAAUACUCGAUUAGGCUCAAGCACGAACAUAACUAAUGUGAAAAUACG
This 1286-nucleotide unclassified non-coding RNA is filed under the name Hevea brasiliensis (rubber tree). Lineage: Eukaryota; Viridiplantae; Streptophyta; Magnoliopsida; Malpighiales; Euphorbiaceae. The record is from RNAcentral.